GACCCGUGCAGCCGGUUGUGGUGGUCAAGAAGGCCAGUACCACUAUCUGUUGAAGAGACAACUAUCUGCACAGCAACCAUAUGAAAAAGACUGAACCUAUGAGAAAGAUGUUUUACAACUGUAAGACAUAAAGAAGGAGCCCCAAUGAAACAGUGGCCUCUGAGUGCAACCGAU
Long non-coding RNA from Capra hircus (goat), 174 nucleotides. RefSeq lists it as uncharacterized. NCBI's taxonomy places the organism in Eukaryota, Metazoa, Chordata, Mammalia, Artiodactyla, Bovidae. The record is from RefSeq and is a predicted model, not a curated record. The transcript is spliced from 3 exons.